This 254-nucleotide long non-coding RNA is filed under the name Nicotiana benthamiana. RNAcentral's name for it is "long non-coding RNA (NBEN_LNC010756)". The record is from RNAcentral. Lineage: Eukaryota; Viridiplantae; Streptophyta; Magnoliopsida; Solanales; Solanaceae.
AGAUGGUAGUGAGUUGUUUGUAGAGCAGCUAUUGAACGUGAAAUGGUUGGAGCUUCGACGAAGAAGAAAGAGCAGCCAUGGGAGAUAAUCGUUUGGAUGACAGAUUGUGAGGGACGAUGGAGGGGUCGUUUGGACACCGGUCGACGGGAAAAGGGCUGCUCGUGGUUGUUCAUGGCGAGGGAGAUGGUGGAGAUGAGGAAGAAGACGGGAAGGGCAGCCAUGGAGGGGUUUGGUGUUUGGUGGUUAGGGUUUGG